GGGAGAAAAAGAAAAUGGAAACGUUCAGGCAGGCCAGGCAAUAAGUCAAUGUCAACAGCUGUAAGAAAAUAGCCAAAACUAGCCAAUGGUUGAUUGAGAUGUUGUAUUUGUUUAGAAUGAUUAGUUUAGUUAUAGGAUGAGUUCAAUAAUUAAUUUACUAGAAUAAUUUUUUUAGUUAUAGUAAGAAUCUAAAGCUCAAUUAAUUGAUUUGGAGACAAACUUUCAUCCGUAUCAGUAUUUUCAACUUUGUUACUCGCAUCUCCUUAAGAAAAUUAAUCUAACGUUAAAAUUUAGUGUUUUUCAAGUCGAAUAGAUAUUCACUUUCAAACUCACUCUCUUAACUCACAAAUGAUGCCGGUUAAAUUUUUUCGAUUUGUAACUGAAUUUAAUACUAAUUAAAAACCCUCUAUAUAUUGACAGAGUAUAUACAGACAAAGGAGAGGAAGUAGAGGAAAAACUAAAGAGAGGAGCAUUUAUAUUUUAUAUAUAUAGUAGAUGGAUGGGAGACUAUAUUCACGAGGGGCAUCCAUCCAUUUUCCGCAAAAUCAAAAGCAUGCAUGGUUCUUGUGUGUGUUGUGUUGUGUUGCAUAACCCAACCUAUAGGGCAUCUUCCUUCCACCCCUAACCCCCCACCCUCACCAAACAAACACAAAGAGAAAGCCCCACUUCCACCCUACAUUUCUUAUAUACCUUAAAAUACUUCCUCAAAUAGACCAUAACCUUUGUUCAUUUUUUUGCUCUUUAAUUAAUUUCCAGAUGAAUCCAUUUCGGUGGAAAGUUGAGAAUCCAUAAACUUUAAAUUCUGAUUCUCUCUCAGUAUUUGUAUGUUGGUUUUGAGAGGUUGAAGCUGCCAGCAUGAUCUGGUAAGAGCAAAAUCCAUUUUUCCGUAUAUUUUCUUGCAAAAAAAGAAAGGAAAGCCCAUAUUUUUUCUUAAAAUCUUGACGCCUUUCCCUCUUUUGGGUUUGAAGUUACUUAGAUUUGAAAAAAAGAAAAUGAAAUUUUGGAAGGUUUUCUUUAAAGAGAAUAUAUAUAUAUAUAUAUAUAUAUAUAUAUAGCUAGCUUUCCAAAGGUUUGGUUCCAUCAGGUCAUCUAGCAGCUUCAAUCACUCACCAACAAUACAAACAAAGGAAAAGGCUUCUAAUUUUGACCUUGACUUCUCAAUGACAUUGAUUUAUCUCAGUGAAUUUUUACAUAUAAAUUUAUGUUGCAAAAUACCGAAUUCAGAUGAACUCGGUACCUGAACGUUGCAUCCGCCACAAUGAAUGAUGAUGGUUUCUGAUGAGUGAUGACAUUUGAGUUUUGAACUCCAGGCAUGUAAAAUUUCCAAAUAUAUAAGGCAACAAUUAAUAAUUUAUCCCAUUAAUCGGACCGAAAUUUCUGCGCAGAUUUAUAAGUACUUGCUAGGGGAUCUAUUGUUCUGUUUUUGUGGAAUUUUAAUCCUUUAAUUUGAGUGUACUUUGUGUGCGUGUGGGUGUGUGAUUGUUUGUUUGUUUGUCUGUGUGGUUUUCUAUGCAGAUAUACAAUAUCAAGAUUGAGCCAAGUAAAUCAAAUUCACAAGACACGAGAAAGACAUGAUUGUUAAUUAAUUUACAAGCUUGUAUUUUCAUCUUAUGGUAUUCAAUUACAUGAUGACAACUGUACUUUUGUUAUGUGGAAAUUAUAAGUAUUACCUAAUUAAUGACUUCACAAAAGUUUAAUGGGUGAUGUACCAUUUCUUAACUAUUACAAA
This is a long non-coding RNA of Lycium ferocissimum, 1729 nucleotides long. RefSeq lists it as uncharacterized. Lineage: Eukaryota; Viridiplantae; Streptophyta; Magnoliopsida; Solanales; Solanaceae. The transcript is spliced from 2 exons. The record is from RefSeq and is a predicted model, not a curated record.